CAGCGCCACAAGUGGGGACCAGUAUUAUUGGGCCUAAAGCGUCCGUAGCCGGAUGAAUAAAUCCUUUGUGAAAUUGUUGGGCUUAACCUAACAGCGUGCAGAGGACACUGUUUAUCUUGAGACCGGGAGGAGUCAGAGGUAUGCUAGGGGAAGCGGUAAAAUGCUGUAAUCCCUAGUGGACCACCUGUGGCGAAGGCGUCUGACUAGAACGGGUCUGACGGUGAGGGACGAAAGCUGGGGGAGCGAUCCGGAUUAGAUACCCGAGUAGUCC
Molecule: ribosomal RNA, 271 nt
Filed under: uncultured archaeon
Lineage: Archaea
Description: partial 16S ribosomal RNA
Rfam family: Archaeal small subunit ribosomal RNA
Source: RNAcentral